Molecule: ribosomal RNA, 460 nt
Filed under: uncultured bacterium
Lineage: Bacteria
Description: partial 16S ribosomal RNA
Rfam family: Bacterial small subunit ribosomal RNA
Source: RNAcentral
CCUACGGGAGGCAGCAGUGAGGAAUUUUGGUCAAUGGGCGCGCGCCUGCACCAGCCAAGUCGCGUGAAGGAUGACUGCCCUACGGGUUGUAAACUUCUUUUAUAAAGGAAUACAGUGAGGAACGUGUGCCUUUUUGUCUGUACUUUAUGAUUAAGGAUCGGCUAACUCCGUGCCAGCAGCCGCGGUAAUACGGAGGAUCCGAGCGUUAUCCGGAUUUAUUGGGUGUAAAGGGAGAGUAGAUGGGUUGUUAAGUCAGUUAUGAAAGUUUGCGGCUCAACCGUAAAAUUGCAAUUGAUACUGGCAGACUUGAGUACAGUUGAGGUAAGCGGAAUUCGUGGUGUAGCGGUGAAAUGCGUAGAUAUCACGAAGAACUCCGAUUGCGAAGGCAGCUUACUAAACUGCCACUGACAUUGAGGCUCGAAAGUGUGGGUAGCAAACAGGAUUAGAUACCCUAGUAGUC